Molecule: ribosomal RNA, 424 nt
Filed under: uncultured bacterium
Lineage: Bacteria
Description: bacterial SSU rRNA
Rfam family: Bacterial small subunit ribosomal RNA
Source: RNAcentral
GUUUGAUCCUGGCUCAGAGCGAACGUUAGCGGCGGGCUUAACACAUGCAAGUCGAGCGAGAAAGGGGCUUCGGCCCUGAGUACAGCGGCGGACGGGUGAAUAACACGUAGGUAACCUUCCUUUCAGCGGGGGACAACGGUCCGAAAGGACCGCUAAUACCGCAUACGUUCCCUAGGACCUCGGUCCUGGGGAGGAAAGGCCCGCAAGGGCCACUGGAUGAGGGGCCUGCGUAGCAUCAGCUAGUUGGUGGGGUAAUGGCCUACCAAGGCGAAGACGCUUAGCUGGUCUGAGAGGAUGAUCAGCCACACUGGGACUGAGACACGGCCCAGACUCCUACGGGAGGCAGCAGUGGGGAAUAUUGGUACAAAUGGGCGCAAGCCUGAUCCAGCCAACGCCGCGUGAGUGAUGAAGGCCUCGGUCGUAA